This 459-nucleotide ribosomal RNA is filed under the name uncultured bacterium. RNAcentral's name for it is "partial 16S ribosomal RNA". It matches the Rfam family "Bacterial small subunit ribosomal RNA", at positions 338 to 795 of the family's 1533-position model. The record is from RNAcentral.
CCUACGGGUGGCAGCAGGGAGGAAUAGUGGGCAAUGGACGAGAGGCGGAACCAGCCAAGGAGCGUGAAGGAGGACUGCCCGAUGGGGUGUAAACUUCUUUUAUAUGGGAAUAAAAUGUUCCACGUGUGGGAUUUUGUAUGUACCAUAUGAAUAAGGAUCGGCUAACCCCGUGCCAGCAGCCGCGGUAAUACGGAGGAUCCGAGCGUUAUCCGGAUUUAUUGGGUUUAAAGGGAGAGUAGGUGGAUUGUUAAGUCAGCGGUAAAAUUGCGGGGCUCACCCCCGUCGAGCCGUUGAAACUGGCAGACUUGAGUUGGCGAGAAGUACGCGGAAUGCGCGGUGUAGCGGUGAAAUGCAUAGAUAUCGCGCAGAACUCCGAUUGCGAAGGCAGCGUACCGGCGCCAGACUGACGCUGAGGCACGAAAGCGUGGGGAUCGAACAGGAUUAGCUACCCCAGUAGUC